This 567-nucleotide ribosomal RNA is filed under the name Geotrichum cucujoidarum. RNAcentral describes it as "Dipodascus cucujoidarus partial 26S ribosomal RNA". It matches the Rfam family "Eukaryotic large subunit ribosomal RNA", at positions 40 to 648 of the family's 3401-position model. Lineage: Eukaryota; Fungi; Ascomycota; Dipodascomycetes; Dipodascales; Dipodascaceae. The record is from RNAcentral.
AUAUCAAUAAGCGGAGGAAAAGAAACCAACAGGGAUUGCCUUAGUAACGGCGAGUGAAGCGGCAAGAGCUCAAAUUUGAAAUCUCCUAGCAAGGAGAGUUGUAAUUUGCAGGUUGUAAUCUGAGUAGGCAGCACAAGUCUCCUGGAACGGAGCGCCUUAGAGGGUGAGAGCCCCGUAAGCUGUGACUCGUUGUAGAUUGCUUCCAAAGAGUCGAGUUGUUUGGGAAUGCAGCUCUAAGCGGGAGGUAAAUUCCUUCUAAAGCUAAAUAUUGGCGAGAGACCGAUAGCGAACAAGUACAGUGAUGGAAAGAUGAAAAGAACUUUGAAAAGAGAGUGAAAAAGUACGUGAAAUUGUUAAAAGGGAAGGGUACUGCAUGAGACUUGGGUAGAGUGUUCAGCUAGUUUUCGGACUUGUGUAUUCAUGCUGCCUGGGCCAGGGAGAGGUGAGAGGGAGUGAAAAAGUGGUGAGAAGGUAGCUCUUCGGAGUGUUAUAGGUCAUCAUAAUAACUCCUCUGUCGCCUCAGGACUGCGAAUUUUCAAGGUCUCUGGCGUAAUCAUUCAGUACCGC